RNAcentral lists this ribosomal RNA (526 nucleotides) under uncultured bacterium. RNAcentral's name for it is "bacterial SSU rRNA". It matches the Rfam family "Bacterial small subunit ribosomal RNA", at positions 335 to 851 of the family's 1533-position model. The record is from RNAcentral.
ACUCCUACGGGAGGCAGCAGUGAGGAAUUUUGCGCAAUGGGGGCAACCCUGACGCAGCAACGCCGCGUGAGUGAUGAAGGCCUUCGGGUCGUAAAGCUCUGUCAAGUGGGAAGAAUCUGCUCAGUGAUAACACCAUGGGGCACUGACGGUACCACUGAAGGAAGCACCGGCUAACUCCGUGCCAGCAGCCGCGGUAAUACGGGGGGUGCUAGCGUUAUUCGGAAUCAUUGGGCGUAAAGGGCGCGUAGGCGGUCUCUUAAGUCAGAUGUGAAAGCCCUCGGCUUAACCGGGGAAGUGCAUUUGAUACUAAGGGACUUGAGUAUGGGAGAGGGAAGCGGAAUUCCUGGUGUAGCGGUGAAAUGCGUAGAUAUCAGGAGGAACACCGGUGGCGAAGGCGGCUUCCUGGACCAAUACUGACGCUGAGGCGCGAAGGCGUGGGGAGCAAACAGGAUUAGAUACCCUGGUAGUCCACGCAGUAAACGGUGAACACUAGGUGUAGCGGGUAUUGACCCCUGCUGUGCCGAAG